Cynoglossus semilaevis (tongue sole) is the source of this 1941-nucleotide long non-coding RNA. RefSeq lists it as uncharacterized. The record is from RefSeq and is a predicted model, not a curated record. The transcript is spliced from 3 exons. NCBI's taxonomy places the organism in Eukaryota, Metazoa, Chordata, Actinopteri, Pleuronectiformes, Cynoglossidae.
UGCAGAUGCGUCCCUUACCUUCGGGUCGAGGUUGAUUACACGGCUAUGUUUCUGUCUUACCUUCCAGUCUUGGUCAGAACAAUGAUUGCACUAGCGCAGCAUUUAAAGGACGACUCCACGGCACCGACGGCCACGGCCUCUGUGGGGUCUCUGGUGAAGUGAGAGUGUCUCCUCAGCUCUUCGAACAGCUGCCUGUGGAAGGUGGCGGCCUCCGCCUCUCGAGCUAUCUGAGGAUCGGAGGACCAUGGAGGAAGGAAGGAAGAAAACCGAUACUCUGUGUCCUCCGUGACCUGUCAGGAUCAGGUGACCUGCCUACCUUCCAGAGCCUGUGAGAACAAUGAUGGCAGAGGCCAAGCUCUUAAAGGAGGCCUCCACAGCGCCAAUAGCAAUGGCCUCUGCGUGGUCUUUGCAGUAUGGCGUGGAACGACGCAGGUCCUCAAACACCUGCCGAUGGAACAUGGCCGCCUCAGCUUCACGUGCGAUCUGGCACAUGUGCGAGAUUGAAGAUGCAAGGAGCGAAGGUGUUUCCACACCAACAACAAGCACGUGUUAUGAUGGAGAAGAGUCGGUUGGAAAAAUUAAAACGGACAAGUGUGUCAGAGACAAAGAGGGAGACAAGUUAGAAAUGAGACAAAAAGAACAGAGUGAACAGUAAACAGAGGAACGUAACACAGUAGUGUCAGUGGAAGUAGAAAAAAUAUUCAGCAACAUUUAAACACGUUCAGUGAGAGGCCGUGCUUCAAAUCCCACACUUACCCUCUCACAAUUUAAGACAAACUUUACCACAAGUCUUUGUAUAAUGUUAAUAAAAUGUUUGAAUAUUGUAAAAAAAAAUCUAAAAGUUAUAUUAAACUAAAAAGCAAAGAAUCUAAAACAAUGGAUGAAAAAUAAAAUAAGUCAAACUCAUAAAAACUAUACUGUGUCAUUGAGGUCCAAAAGCAAGAUAGGAAUUGUAAGGCAAGCAUAGCAUUCAAAAACACACAGACAGACGGAAAGAAACAGAAGGGAUUUGAAAGGAGAACGCAGCAAAGAAGAAAUGUGUACAUGAAAACAAAGCCUUGUACACAAAAGUGUACUGUAAAAAUGUCACAUGCUUUGGAAGGUUAAGGUCAGUCAAAGUCAAGUUUAAGAAACAAACCAUGCAACAACUCAGAGGCAGAAUCUGCAGGAUCUACUGCUGAGUCACUCCUGUAUCUGCAGAGCAGUACCAACAAGUGUGGCUGCAGACUGCAGGAGACGACUGGGACAGGAGAGGACGACGGAAGACACAGAGGAAAGCUAGGAGUGUUUAAAAGUUCAUAUCCUGUCCUUGUCCAUUACUAAAAGAUAAGAGCUAAAAAACAUGCAUACAGUACAGCUGCUUAUCUUACUGUUACUCAUGAACAUAUGGACAUCUGUUACUGUUACUGUGUAGGUCAGUAGUUUAAGAAAUAAAACAGAUCCAAACUUAGUGUUUGAUAAUUAGGUGUGAAUGAAAUGUAAUCACUAACUCCAGCCUAUGACUUCCCUUUAACAGAGUAAACACAGAGGAUGACAUGCACUUCCAUUUGUCCCAGCACUGUUAAAAUGACAAUUGCUGGGACAGAUGGGAAAAGAAAAAGCUGUAACUGGACAACUAAAAGAGAUUAGGGGCUUAAAAGGCCAAGAACAACAAAAAUGUAAAUUAAAAAUAUAAUAUAUGUUUAUCUCUCAAUACCUUAAAUUCUUGUGCUCCGUUACUUUUACUAUUACUAUACUUCACUAUUAUAACCAGGGAUGUAACGAUGCAUAAAAAAACAAACAAAAAAAAACAACAAAAACUUAAAAAUUGUACGUCCAUAGACUAUGUUGACAUACUAGCCUAACUGACAUUCAGGUGUUUAAACAGAACAUGGGAAGAACCUAAAGUUUAGUGUAUCAUUACACCCCUAAUUAUUACUCGACUACGUUUAUAAUGCAUGA